GAUGAACGCUGGCGGCGUGCCUAAUACAUGCAAGUCGAGCGAACAGACGAGGAGCUUGCUCCUCUGACGUUAGCGGCGGACGGGUGAGUAACACGUGGAUAACCUACCUAUAAGACUGGGAUAACUUCGGGAAACCGGAGCUAAUACCGGAUAAUAUAUUGAACCGCAUGGUUCAAUAGUGAAAGACGGUUUUGCUGUCACUUAUAGAUGGAUCCGCGCUGCAUUAGCUAGUUGGUAAGGUAACGGCUUACCAAGGCAAAGAUGCGUAGCCGACCUGAGAGGGUGAUCGGCCACACUGGAACUGAGACACGGUCCCGACUCCUACGGGAGGCAGCAGUAGGGAAUCUUCCGCAAUGGGCGAAAGCUUGACGGAGCAACGCCGCGUGAGUGAUGAAGGUCUUCGGAUCGUAAAACUCUGUUAUUAGGGAAGAACAAAUGUGUAAGUAACUAUGCACGUCUUGACGGUACCUAAUCAGAAAGCCACGGCUAACUACGUG
RNAcentral lists this ribosomal RNA (497 nucleotides) under uncultured bacterium. Its description in RNAcentral is "partial 16S ribosomal RNA". It matches the Rfam family "Bacterial small subunit ribosomal RNA", at positions 28 to 507 of the family's 1533-position model. The record is from RNAcentral.